CCUACGGGUGGCAGCAGUGGGGGAUAUUGCACAAUGGGGGAAACCCUGAUGCAGCGACGCCGCGUGGGUGAAGAAGCGCCUCGGCGCGUAAAGCCCUGUCAGCAGGGAAGAAAAUGACGGUACCUGAAGAAGAAGCCCCGGCUAACUACGUGCCAGCAGCCGCGGUAAUACGGAGGGGGCAAGCGUUAUGCGGAUUUACUGGGUGUAAAGGGGGCGCAGACGGCGGUGCAAGCCAGGGGUGAAAGCCCGGGGCCCAACCCCGGGACUGCUCUUGGAACUGCGUGGCUAGAGUGCAGGAGGGGGAGGCGGAAUUCCAGGUGUAGCGGUGAAAUGCGUAGAUAUCAGGAGGAACACCGGUGGCGAAGGCGGCCUGCUGGACUACGACUGACGUUGAGGCCCGAAAGCGUGGGGAGCAAACAGGAUUAGAUACCCGGGUAGUC
RNAcentral lists this ribosomal RNA (440 nucleotides) under uncultured bacterium. RNAcentral's name for it is "partial 16S ribosomal RNA". It matches the Rfam family "Bacterial small subunit ribosomal RNA", at positions 338 to 795 of the family's 1533-position model. The record is from RNAcentral.